GUGGUGACGAAAGCUUUAGGUGGUCGGUAAUGGGAGGGGGUUGGACCCAAAAAGGAAGAACGCCGGGCGAGUUGAUAAGGAACUGAAGCGACAGACUUAUAGGAAAAUUGGACUGGACUUCAAUCAUUGUUUAAGAUUUUGAGAAGAAUAACGACAUUGGUAUUAAUGUGAUAGGAUUAGUUGAUGACGUUAUCACAGCAUUGAAGACAGACGGAUGGAAGCACGAGAGGAUCUUGUUUCGCGCGGAAUUAUUUCGGAAACACCAAAAGGAACACAAUAUCCUCAAUUUGAAGGAUUCAAUGUGGUAACGCUUGGUGGACAGACCCUGCUCCGGUACAAAGGUUUAUGGUAUGAGGUACAUAGAUGGUGUAAGUUGUCCGAGGUAAUGGGGAAGUGGCAAGAAGAACACGUUGAGUAGUUUUAAUAUUCACAUGAGUAUUAAAAAAGCAGUUUACCGAUGAAUAUGAACCUGGGUUUGCUAUUGAGUUAUAAUACUAUGUGAUUAAUAUUUCUCUAGAUUCAAUAUGAUCUAUUUCAUCAUUCUACUGCAAGGUGUUGGAACAUUAUUACCAUGAAACUUUUGUAACACAGCACAUGCAGUAGUUUUCGAAACUCCCCAUAGAUUAAAUACAGAAAGUUUUAAAAAUAAGAACUAUGAGUAGGAUUUCAAAGGUGAUUGGAAUCAGUAGACAACAAAUUAGGCAUAGUUUUAUCAACCGUCUCACCUUUUGUUUCGUCGUAUUUUUUACCGUUGCAUUUACGUAUCCGAUUGGCGUACGGACAUCCGUGCUGACACCUCCUUUUUCAAAGCUUAGACCGAUAGCAAACAUUUUUUUCUGUUGUGAUUUUCUCUUCCACAUUAGUAGGUUUUGUAAAUAAGCAUCCCAUUUAUUUUUUACUUUUUUUUCUUUUUCUUUCUCUUUGUUUUCGGAUAUUCUUUUACUGCGUUCAAGUUUUCCUUUGGAUAACAGUCACCCUUGUUUACGUAUUUAUAGUUUUUAACAUUAGAGCUGAUUUAUCCAACUUUAGCGUCUGCAGCACCGAAUGAUAGUCCAUGCACCUUUGCUUACUUUCACACCAAUAUUUAACUCCUCUUCCUUCUUCUGAUUUUUGCUGUAUUUUUCCAUGUUUUAUUUAAUCUCAAAAAUAAAAUGCCAUUUAACAUAAUAGUAGGCAAGACGGCCUGCGGAAAGACCCACUCACUAUCUUAUCAAGAAAUUGAAAACUACCUUCCACAGAAAAUUCGAGAACAUUUUCCUCAUCUGUCCGACAUUCCGUUGGAAUAAAACCUACGACCAGGACUUUAUGUACAACGAUCCCAAUUUGUUUGUGAUCCCCUGCAAGCAGGACGACGUGGAGGACCGUCUGAAAUGUAUUGUGGAUUUUACCAAAGGGCGAGAGUCUCUUAUAAUUUUAGAUGACUGUGCAAGCAACACCUCGGUCAAAAAUCGUGUUGGAGAAUUGGUGACACUUGGAUUUAGCGCUCGACACAUGGGAAUCUCCACCAUCGUCAUCACCCAACAGCUCACAUCCAUAGCAAAACCUUAUCGCGAGAAUAUUUCCAAAUUAAUUACAUUUUACAAUCCGAACAGAGCAGACAUGAAAAUCACUUUAGACGAGUAUCUGGAGGUUGAUGGGGACGAAAUGAAAUCCAUUAAGAGACAGCUAAAGGAGAUUAACUUAGUUCAUCCGUAUAAUCAUGAGAUAAAGACGUAAACUGAAGUGUAGACUGAAGUUCCUGCUGUAUAAUAAAUAAUGGAAUCAGAACUACCAGUGAUUGACGAGGCACCGCACGGGGAGGCUGAGGACACGAAGGAACCAGACUACCGAGCGGAGCUAAUACGCUUGUCAAACGCAGGUGCGAUCACCCAAUCCGAAAAAUAUCUUAGGAAAGCUUCUGACAAAGUCAUUGCUAAGAUUCACAGGGAGUACAUUAUAACACAGAGGAAAAAGGCUAACACCCUGCUGACGGAAACAUCGAUAAGUUCUCCGCAUUGUUGGAAGCUAUUAGGGACCUUUAGCAAAUAGGUGACAGCAACGCGACGACGACGGCCAAAACAAACUCGUUCAAAUAAGUAACUUUAAGAUCAACAUGUCUUGUAUUAUCCGUUGUAUGAAUGUAUUGCAAUUUAGAAGGUUAAGACAGAGGUUUAUAGUUGAGAAGACUUCUACUAAGCCAAUUUGGCGAGGACGAUUUCUCGCUGCUUUUAAAGGCAGACG
Molecule: non-coding RNA, 2220 nt
Organism: Paramuricea clavata
Lineage: Eukaryota; Metazoa; Cnidaria; Anthozoa; Malacalcyonacea; Plexauridae
Source: the annotation of a GenBank genome assembly